This 387-nucleotide ribosomal RNA is filed under the name uncultured bacterium. RNAcentral's name for it is "bacterial SSU rRNA". It matches the Rfam family "Bacterial small subunit ribosomal RNA", at positions 88 to 507 of the family's 1533-position model. The record is from RNAcentral.
UACAGCAGUGGCGCACGGGUGAGUAACGCGUGGAUAUCUGCCUUUUGGUUACGGUAAUAACUCCGGGGAAACUGGAGCUAAUACCGGAUGGUUCCUACGGGAUAAAGAUUUAUCGCCAAAAGAUGAGUCCGCGUACGAUUAGCUAGUUGGUGAGGUAAUGGCUCACCAAGGCGACGAUCGUUAGCUGGUCUGAGAGGACGAUCAGCCACACUGGGACUGAGACACGGCCCAGACUCCUACGGGAGGCAGCAGUGGGGAAUAUUGGACAAUGGGGGCAACCCUGAUCCAGCCAUGCCGCGUGAGUGAUGAAGGCCUUCGGGUUGUAAAGCUCUUUUGGCGGGGACGAUGAUGACGGUACCCGCAGAAUAAGCCCCGGCUAACUUCGUG